Psammomys obesus (fat sand rat) is the source of this 402-nucleotide non-coding RNA. The record is from the annotation of a RefSeq genome assembly. NCBI's taxonomy places the organism in Eukaryota, Metazoa, Chordata, Mammalia, Rodentia, Muridae.
AUGGGAGGGAGCUGGAUCCUCUUCCUAUUGGCAGCAUCUACAGGGGUCCACUCCCAGGUCCAGCUGCAGCAGUCUGGGUCUGAGCUGGUGAGGCUUGGGUCCUCAGUGAAGCUGUCCUGCAAGGCUUCUGGAUACACCUUCACCAGCUACUAUAUAUGCUGGAUGAAGCAGAGUCCAGGACAGGGGCUGGAGUGGAUUGGAUAUAUUUAUGGAAAUAGUGGUACUGGCUAUAACCAGAAGUUUCAGGACAAGACUACACUGACUGCAGACUCAUCCUCCAGCACAGCCUUCAUGACACUCAGCAGCCUGACAGCUGAGGACUCUGCGGUCUAUUACUGUGCAAGACAGGCACACAUUGCUGCAAUUUAUUAUUAUUAUUAUUUUGCUCAAGGUCCCAAAUGA